Molecule: small RNA, 4442 nt
Filed under: Arabidopsis thaliana (thale cress)
Lineage: Eukaryota; Viridiplantae; Streptophyta; Magnoliopsida; Brassicales; Brassicaceae
Description: ATSL197130
Rfam family: MIR854 microRNA precursor family (bases 2644-2864)
Source: RNAcentral
UUUUCUUUUCUUGGUAUUUUGGAUUUGUUUUCGUUGUGUUUGUUGUUCUCAGGAAUAGAGGAAUAACUUGAAGGAAGAGUGAAAAUUCAAAACUCUUACUCUACAGACGGCCUAGAGAUCAAUUACACAGUAUAGUGGAUUGCAAAUUUUUUUAAAACUUUCAAUUGCACUUGGAGACCUUGCACUCGAGUAUAUUGGUCGAAUAUGAGUGAUGUUUAAAACCCAUAAAUUUUUAAAUCAUCAUUUUACUCGACCAACAGAAGCUACAAAGUCUUAUAGGGAGUUUAUCAAGUUUACAAAGGAUUGCGGGAUUUCCUGAGGUUUUUCCUGUAAACAGAGAGCACAGAAGAAAGACAAGAAGCCAUAGUGGGACCCACCACUGACGCCCAUGUCCUCCAUGCAGCAGACCAAGAGACAUGGAAUCUCUUCACACCCAUCUCUCCACUCGAUCACUACGCAACCUUAUCCUCACCUUCACUACUCGACUUCAUCUCUCAACUCGACCACUCCAGCUUCUCUCCCCAUAAAAACACUCGACUUCAAUCGAUAUCAUCAUCCUCACAACCUUCACUCGAUCACGUCACCAUCUCUCUUCAUAUACUCGACCGCUGAACAAAUAUCACCUUCAAGCUCAUCAUCUCUCUAUCGCUUCCAACGCCACUGCUCUCUUCCCCACGAAAGCUCAUCACAUCGCCUCUUCAACCCACUCGACGUCGCGCAUUCACUCGAUCUCUCAUCACCAUCUUCAUCACAUCGCCACUUCUCACCUUAUCUCGCCACCAACAACACUCGACUGCAGCUCCCUCAUAGCCUCAUCGUUUUCCACCGCUUUGUUCCAGUCACUCGACCAACUGCCACCGUUUUCUCUUCUCACCGAAACAAUCACUCGACUUCUCCACUGCUCCUCACCGCUCAAGCUCCAUUAGUUCACUCGACCAUCAUCUCAUUCUCAAAUCAACUCGCUCCCGAAUCAAAAGAGAAGAAGAAGGAAGACGCCACCAUCAACAACCGAUUCACUCGACCGCCGUUUCACUCUAUCUCACAACCACGAAACUAGCUUCACUCGACCUCACAAGAUCACUCGACCUCGUCUCACUCUUCACUAGCAACACUCGAUCGCGUAUCACCAAUGAAUCCCACAAGAAGUCUCGCCUCUCAACCUCACUCGAUCGCGGAGAACACUCCAUUCACUCACUCAAGGAAUCACUCGAUCAACAAUUCACCAAACCAAAAAAAAAAAACGGUUUACUUGACCAGUUUACUUGACCGGUAUACUCGAUUGGUUUGUGUUUUGGUUUUGUUGGGACUAACGUAUUAACAUUUUUCUUUGUGUUCCAUCUAAUUUCAGGUUUCGUCAUGAGAAACUAAAGUAGGGAAUCCUCUGUGGAUCCUGAAUAUAAUGUAGAUGAAGCUGAGUCUUGGUCAACUAGACCAGAGAGAGAAGAACACAUUUACGAAAGCUUCAGGAUAGAAAUAGAACGCUCGAUAGCUGAAAUCGCUAGAGGAAAGAGAGCGAUGUCGAGUAGAUAUGAGUUGAUUGAUGAGGACAUCGAAACUGAGUAUGAGCCAGAGUCAUGGCGCAAGGAGACAAAGCUGUUGAACAAACCUGACGAGGUUACAGUGGAGGAGUAUAUCAGAUUCUUUGAGCUGAACGAUUUUUGGGGAAUGAGCUAUCCCUGCUAUGAGAAUUUAGCCCAGCUGGGGUUACUUGAGGACGUGCAGCAUCUGUUCGUGAAGUGUCAUCUGGAGACACUCAUGUCUUACCCAUACGCUGCCUACAAGGAGGAGACGAUCAAGUUUCUCUCCACAAUGCAAGUGGAGAUGUAUCAGGGUCUCACAGAAUUUGAGCUAGACACCAUGAGAUUGGGAUUCUUGACAUUUUCAGUGGAUGAGCAGCGCUAUCAGUUGUCGAUCAAGAAGUUGAAAGAACUGUUUGGUUUCCAUAGUGGAAAGGGAACCAAGCCCAAGUUUGACAGGGAGACUUUAAGGAUUUGUGGGCUACUAUUGGGAACAAUGUACCGCUAAACUCUGCCCGGUCCAAGAGCAACCAAAUCUGGAGUCCAUUGAUUCGCUACUUUCAGUGCUAAGUAGCCAAUGUUCUUUACUCCAGGGAGUCUACAGACAUCGUGUCUAACACAGACAUGGAUGUGAUAGAUUCCGCACUUACAAGCAUUCUCCACCGUACAAAGGGAAAGAAGGUCCUGAGAGGUGAUCUCAAUGACGCGCCACCAGUAAUGCUUCUGUUGAUCCACCUGUGUGGAUACAGGAAAUGGGCGUUGACAAACUGCAAGAAGAAAGUGAGAGGAACACUAUGCGUAGGUGGCGUUGUGACGCCGAUUCUCGAAGCUUGUGGAGUACCGCUCAAGAAACAGGGGUUAGAGCCGAGAAUGAUAGAUUUGGAUCAUUUACGCCGAUGUGAGUUCUUGGAGCAUGACAUGGUUGGCAACUUCCACAGCUACAGGUUCAAGCAUUCAUCGAUCAGAAUCGCCAACAUUUUUCUCCCCUACAUUGACGCUACCAGGAUUCUCGAGGGCAGGAAUAUUGACUUCUAGCCUACGCUUGAAGAUCUUUAUUUCAAGGGCAGUCCGCCAACUGAGGAGAUCAGUCACACGGAAGGAGCUACAAUAGAAGAAGUUGAUGAGACAGAUGAAAUAGAUGAAGCGGAGUUUGACACGAGCAUGUCUCAUUUCAGUGAGCAUGUACCUCCAGCGAGGGAAAGCAAGAGUUUGAGUGAAGCUCACAGGAACAACAACAAGUUGCAGAAGUGGUGUAAGAAACAUGAUAAGUUACUUGCCAAGUGCCUCAAAGCUAUCAAGUUUCUGAAGGACAAGCUAAGCUGCUCCUCUACCACUACAGCUAUUCCGCAUGGACAGCUCCCUCAGGACAUGCCCUCGAGGAGAUAUGAUGCGCCUGAGACAAGUCGGCGCAGGCCUGAGCCUACUGAGCAAGAGAUUAUGCAUGUCCCUGCGAGGCAUUCAUCAUUCGAGCCUCGUGAAUUUGGGAGAAAGAGGAGGACCAAACUUACUCGAUCUAGCAGCAGGAACAGACGACUUCUGCAAUCUCGUAGUUUACGCGACCGCGGUAGAAGAAGAGAGGUCGAGUAUCCUCAAGCGGUGCUGGCCGCCACAGAGCUGAUGAGAUCGAGUACCCACAUGCUAGAGCUGAUACAGAACAGGGCGAUUCUUCUAUGGCCUCGGAGCAAUCACAUGCAACCAUUGACGACCAACUUCGUUCAUUCUUCGACUGAGGUAAGCGCCUCACUUCUCCAUUGUAUUAUAUCAUCUCUUGUGAUUUGUUCUUUAUUUUGUUUCUGUGAUUUGAUUUGUCCUGAGUACUCUCUUCCAAGUUUAGUCACACAGUGGACUGUGUGAUUUAAGUUUGGGGGAGGGCUCAGGAAGUGUGUGUUGCAUUCUUAUUCAUUUUGAUCACUCUUGUUAAUCCAAGUAACUGACUCUCGUUAUUAGAUCAGUUAACCCGAACCCAAACAUAAACUUUCUUUCAAGCCCUAUAUCACUUGUGAGUGUUUGUGAGGUUUUAUUCCGAUUUAGAUUGGUAGAAAGUGUUAGGUUUGUAACGACAGAGAUAGUGUCUCAUGUAGUUCUACAUCGCAUUUUCUGGACUAGAUAGGACUAGGUAAGCGCUUAUACUUUGGGUUGGGAUGUGUCUAAAAAAAAAAAAGGGUUGAUUCAUUGAUAAAAAAGGUAAAAGACUCUAGGUGAAGUAAGCUAAAGAAGCAGAAAAAGUCUAAUAAAUGUUUUGGGAUUUGUAAAGAAAAGAGUUCUUGUUAGCUAAUGAAGAAGGGCAAAAGCCCUUAAUUUUAAAUUUUAAAAACAGGAACCCUUAGUUGUUAAAGAAAUCCAAAUUCGCUAGAUGUAUCAGUGUUGAGAAAGCUUCUCCUAGAGUUAAGAGAAAAGAAAAGAAUGAUUAGAAAAAUGUCUUAAAAGAUUCAUGAAUGCAAAGAGUAGAGUUAAGUUCUUAUAUUGGGAUUGGAGAUGGGAUUACCAUUAGAGCUUCAUUUGUUAUACUCUGGGUAGAUGGGAUCUUAUCUCUGUAUGCAUAGCUUCGGACUUACCUUUAGCAUUCUACUAAAGCUUAAUCAUUUUUUAGAGAUCCCCUGUUACUGAAGCCUAUUCUGUAAGGGAUCAUCUUUGUCUCUUGACCUUUACCUUAACCAAAUGAGUUCAUUGAUGAUGCAUUGCUUGAUUCACGUUCUAGAACUAAUGAAUGUUAAAGAGAUUGGUAGAUUUGAAAACAUGUGUAGGUAGAGCAUAAGAGUCGGAUUGAUUGAUAACAAGGCAUGGCUAACGUUUUAAGUAGAAUUCGAUCAUAUCGCAGCUUAGAACUACCAACUUGAACAUUGAUUUCAUCUAAUUUAUCUGGUGCUUUGGCUCUGAGUCUCCGCUUUCAAACCUCACCUCCAGCUUGUUCUUAAUUGUUUGCUU